ACACAUGCAAGUCGAGGGGCAGCGAGAUUGAAGCUUGCUUCAAUUGUCGGCGACCGGCGGACGGGUGCGUAACGCGUAUGCAACCUACCCAUAACAGGGGGAUAACACUGAGAAAUUGGUACUAAUACCCCAUAACAUCUCGAGUGGCAUCACUUGGGGUUGAAAGCUUCGGUGGUUAUGGAUGGGCAUGCGUUGUAUUAGCUAGUUGGUGAGGUAACGGCUCACCAAGGCGACGAUACAUAGGGGGACUGAGAGGUUAACCCCCCACAUUGGUGCUGAGACACGGACCAAACUCCUACGGGAGGCAGCAGUGAGGAAUAUUGGUCAAUGGACGGAAGUCUGAACCAGCCAUGCCGCGUGCAGGAUGACGGCUCUAUGAGUUGUAAACUGCUUUUGUACGAGGGUAAACCCGAAUACGUGUAUUCGGCUGAAAGUAUCGUACGAAUAAGGAUCGGCUAACUCCGUGCCAGCAGCCGCGGUAAUACGGAGGAUCCAAGCGUUAUCCGGAUUUAUUGGGUUUAAAGGGUGCGUAGGCGGUCAGAUAAGUUAGAGGUGAAAUUCCGGUGCUUAACACCGGCGCUGCCUCUAAUACUGUUUGACUAGAGAGUAGUUGCGGUAGGCGGAAUGUAUGGUGUAGCGGUGAAAUGCUUAGAGAUCAUACAGAACACCGAUUGCGAAGGCAGCUUACCAAGCUAUAUCUGACGUUGAGGCACGAAAGCGUGGGGAGCAAACAGGAUUAGAUACCCUGGUAGUCCACGCAGUAAACGAUGAUAACUCGUUGUCGGCGAUACAAUGUCGGUGACUAAGCGAAAGCGAUAAGUUAUCCACCUGGGGAGUACGUUCGCAAGAAUGAAACUCAAAGG
Molecule: ribosomal RNA, 863 nt
Filed under: uncultured bacterium
Lineage: Bacteria
Description: bacterial SSU rRNA
Rfam family: Bacterial small subunit ribosomal RNA
Source: RNAcentral